Molecule: ribosomal RNA, 429 nt
Filed under: Gemmatimonadota bacterium
Lineage: Bacteria; Pseudomonadati; Gemmatimonadota
Description: Gemmatimonadetes bacterium partial 16S ribosomal RNA
Rfam family: Bacterial small subunit ribosomal RNA
Source: RNAcentral
UAGGGAAUCUUCGGCAAUGGACGAAAGUCUGACCGAGCAACGCCGCGUGAGUGAAGAAGGUUUUCGGAUCGUAAAACUCUGUUGUUAGAGAAGAACAAGGACGUUAGUAACUGAACGUCCCCUGACGGUAUCUAACCAGAAAGCCACGGCUAACUACGUGCCAGCAGCCGCGGUAAUACGUAGGUGGCAAGCGUUGUCCGGAUUUAUUGGGCGUAAAGCGAGCGCAGGCGGUUUCUUAAGUCUGAUGUGAAAGCCCCCGGCACAACCGGGGAGGGUCAUUGGAAACUGGGAGACUUGAGUGCAGAAGAGGAGAGUGGAAUUCCAUGUGUAGCGGUGAAAUGCGUAGAUAUAUGGAGGAACACCAGUGGCGAAGGCGGCUCUCUGGUCUGUACCUGACGCUGAGGCUCGAAAGCGUGGGGAGCAAACAGG